RNAcentral lists this long non-coding RNA (1492 nucleotides) under Numida meleagris (helmeted guineafowl). Its description in RNAcentral is "lncRNA (ENSNMEG00000003675.1)". Lineage: Eukaryota; Metazoa; Chordata; Aves; Galliformes; Numididae. The record is from RNAcentral.
CGGGGAGCGGCGCAGAAACAGAAACAGAGCGCGGGGACGAGACAGCGCAGCACUGCGGGCAGAGAGCGGCGUCAGAGCGGGGACAGCGGGGACGGGGGUGGGGGGCACGGCACAGCAUGGCACGGCACAGCAUGGCAUGCAAUGGCAUGGCAUGACACAGCAUGGCACGGCAUGGCACGGCAUGGCAUGCAAUGGCAUGGCAUGGCACAGCAUGGCACGGCAUGGCACGGCAUGGCACGGCAUGGCAUGCAACGGCAUGCAACAGCAUGGAACAGCAUGGCACGGUGUGGCACGGCAUGGCAUGGCACAGCAUGGCCAUGGCACGGCAUGGGAUGGCAUAGCAUAGCACAGCAUGGCACGGCAUAGCAUGGCACGGCAUGGCAUGGCACGGCAUGGCACGGCAUGGCACAGCACGGCAUGGCAUGCAACAGUAUGGCAUGGCACAGCAUGGCAUGGCAUAGCACCGCAUGGCACGGCACAGCAUGGCAUGGCAUGGCACAGCAUCGAAUAGCACAGCAUGGCAUGGCAUGGCAUGGCACAGCACGGCAUGGCAUGCAACAGUAUGGCACGGCAUGGCAUGGCAUGGCAUAGCACAGCACAGCAUGGCACGGCAUGGCAUGGCAUGGCAUGGCAUGGCACAGCACGGCAUGGCACAGCAUGGCAUGGCAUGGAAUAGCACAGCACAGCAUGGCACAGCACAGCACGGCACAGCAUGGCAUGGCACAGCAUGGCACAGCACAGUAUAGCACGGCACAGCGUGGCACAGCAUGGCACGGCACGGCACGGCAUGGCAUGCAACACGGGGCACAGCAGCACACGGCGUGGCACACACAGGACAGCGUGUGGCACCACAAAGGUGGCACAGGAUGGCACACAUGGCACAGAACAGGGCAUGGCAUGGCACACAUGGCACAGAACAGGGCAUGGCAUGGCAUACAUGGCACAGAGAACACGGCACAGAGUGACACAUGGCACACAGAGCACAUGGCACGCAUGGCACAGGAUGGCACACAUGGCACAGAACAGGGCAUGGCAUGGCACGCAUGGCACAGGAUGGCACACGUGGCACACACGGCACAGGACAGUGCAUGGCAUGGCACAUGUGGCACAGGAUGGCACACAUGGCACAGGACAGUGCAUGGCAUGGCACAUGUGGCACAGGAUGGCACAUGGCACAGAGAACAUGGCACAGAGUGACACGUCGCACACAGAGCACAUGGCACACAUGGCGCAGGACCGUGCAUGGCAUGGCACACGUGGCACAGGAUGGCACACACAGGACAGAGUGACACGUGGCACGCACAGCACAUGGCACCCAGGGCACGCGUGACCAAGGACGGCGCAGGGUGGGCACGCACCGCAGGGCUCCGUGUCGGGCCGAACGUGCCCAGCCGCUGCCGAACGGAGCCGGGGGGGCCCCGGGGGGGUGCAGGUCCUCGAUGGAUCGGCUCCAGCCCCGCAGCUUCUCCAGCGCCCCGUCCUCAGCGCCCUC